GGGCUCAUAGCUCAGUUUGGUAGAGCAACCGGCUCUUAACCGGUAGGUCGAGGGUCCGAUUCCCUCUGAGCCCG
RNAcentral lists this transfer RNA (74 nucleotides) under Candidatus Micrarchaeota archaeon CG08_land_8_20_14_0_20_59_11. RNAcentral's name for it is "tRNA-Lys". It matches the Rfam family "tRNA". From Rfam's summary of the family: Transfer RNA (tRNA) molecules are approximately 80 nucleotides in length. Their secondary structure includes four short double-helical elements and three loops (D, anti-codon, and T loops). Further hydrogen bonds mediate the characteristic L-shaped molecular structure. tRNAs have two regions of fundamental functional importance: the anti-codon, which is responsible for specific mRNA codon recognition, and the 3' end, to which the tRNAs corresponding amino acid is attached (by aminoacyl-tRNA synthetases). tRNAs cope with the degeneracy of the genetic code in two manners: having more than one tRNA (with a specific anti-codon) for a particular amino acid; and 'wobble' base-pairing, i.e. permitting non-standard base-pairing at the 3rd anti-codon position. The record is from RNAcentral. Lineage: Archaea; Nanobdellati; Microcaldota.